GUGGGGAAUAUUGCGCAAUGGGGGAAACCCUGACGCAGCGACGACGUGUGAGGGAAGAAGGCUUUCGGGUCGUAAACCUCUGUCAGAAAGGAAGAACCUCCCAAGUCCGAAUAGGGCUUGGGACUGACGGUACUUUCAAAGGAAGCACCGGCUAACUCCGUGCCAGCAGCCGCGGUAAUACGGAGGGUGCAAGCGUUAAUCGGAAUCACUGGGCGUAAAGCGCGCGUAGGCCGCUUUGUAAGUCGGACGUGAAAGCCCUCGGCUCAACCGGGGAACUGCGUUCGAUACUGCGAGGCUUGAGUCCUGGAGAGGGUGGCGGAAUUCCGGGUGUAGGAGUGAAAUCCGUAGAUAUCCGGAGGAACACCGGUGGCGAAGGCGGCCACCUGGACAGGUACUGACGCUGAGGCGCGAAAGCGUGGGGAGCAAACAGGAUUAGAAACCCCUGUAGUCC
RNAcentral lists this ribosomal RNA (451 nucleotides) under uncultured bacterium. Its description in RNAcentral is "partial 16S ribosomal RNA". It matches the Rfam family "Bacterial small subunit ribosomal RNA", at positions 354 to 796 of the family's 1533-position model. The record is from RNAcentral.